This 487-nucleotide ribosomal RNA is filed under the name uncultured bacterium. RNAcentral's name for it is "partial 16S ribosomal RNA". It matches the Rfam family "Bacterial small subunit ribosomal RNA", at positions 28 to 507 of the family's 1533-position model. The record is from RNAcentral.
GAUGAACGCUGGCGAUAGGCUUAACACAUGCAAGUCGAGCGGCAGCACAAUGUAGCCUGCUUUCUGGGUGGGGACAGGCGCACGGGUGCGUAACGCGUAUGCAACUUUACCUAUACAGGAGGAUAACCCGUCGAAAGACGGACUAAUUAUGCGUAAGCUCACAACUUGGCAUCAAGUGGUGAUUAAAGAAUUUCGCUAUAGGAUGGGCAUGCGUCCUAUUAGCUUGUUGGUGAGGUAACGGCUCACCAAGGCGACGAUGGGUAGGUGAGCUGAGAGGUUUAUCCCCCAGACUGGUACUGAGACACGGACCAGACUCCGAGGCGAGGCAGCAGAGUGGAGGAUUAGGCAAGGAACGCUGGCCUAAACCAGCCAAGUGGCUUGAGGGAGGACUGUCGUAGGAAUUGUAAUCUGCUGUUAUACAGGAAUAACAAGAGUCACGUGUGAUUUCCUGAAGGUACCGAAAGAAUAAGCAUCGGCUAACUCCGUG